This is a long non-coding RNA of Calidris pugnax (ruff), 842 nucleotides long. RefSeq lists it as uncharacterized. The transcript has 2 exons. The record is from RefSeq and is a predicted model, not a curated record. Lineage: Eukaryota; Metazoa; Chordata; Aves; Charadriiformes; Scolopacidae.
CUUCACAGGAGGAGCGUCAUCUGGCCCUCAGGUUGCUGCGAGUGGUGGUAGGACAAUGUAAGGAACAAAGUAACAUGGGUUCUCCUGUCCAUGGGGUUCAUCAAGGUCUGAAGGCUCCUUCUGUCCAUCUUCCCCAUAUAUAAGGGAAGCUGAUCUGUAGAGGCCUUCAGAGACCUCUUCCACAAUUCUCUUUGUAGUCUUUGUCAAAACUCUGCCAAAAGUGGUAUUAAUGACUCUGAAAUGUAAAGUUAGGAAUCUAAAAGAUAUCUUAUUCCUCCAAAUUUUUUCCCAAUAAUAAAAACCUUGUUCCUUCAGUAAACUCAAACCUUACUUUUUCAGGAAGCUGACAGCUGGUGACAUGAUGGUGAAGGAACGGACAGCAUUAAGAGGGUAGAUAGAUGCCCAUGAAAGAGCAGGACACCUACAAUGUACAUCCUUUCCACCGAGCUCCACAGGGCUGCACGUGCCAUGUCUGUAAACAGAGAUCUUCUGCGGGCUCUGUGAACCAUGACCUGCCAGGAGCAAAGGGAGAGAAAACAGAGAAUGUUGGUUCUCUUUCCCUCAAAAGCCAACAACAACAAAACCAGCAACCCCCCUGUCUUCUCUGUCUCUAUGUAUAGUGAUUUAUACAAGUAUGUAAACAUUAGCAAGAACUGGGAUGAGAUGGCAUCUCAAACAAAUGUAAAAAUCUUGUUGUUUGCAGCAAUCACUGCUAUAUUUGAGAUCACAAUAAUUCUGGCUGUGAUCUAGAAAUUCAACCUGCAUUUGUAACUGGCUGAAAUGAAACGGUUUCUAAAUUAAGCUUAAAAUGAUUUAAAAUAAAUUAUAGUAUUUCCUUUCAA